RNAcentral lists this ribosomal RNA (450 nucleotides) under uncultured bacterium. RNAcentral's name for it is "partial 16S ribosomal RNA". It matches the Rfam family "Bacterial small subunit ribosomal RNA", at positions 354 to 796 of the family's 1533-position model. The record is from RNAcentral.
GUGGGGAAUUUUGGACAAUGGGCGCAAGCCUGAUCCAGCAAUGCCGCGUGCAGGAAGAAGGCCUUCGGGUUGUAAACUGCUUUUGUACGGAACGAAACGGUCCGGGUUAAUACCCUGGGCUAAUGACGGUACCGUAAGAAUAAGCACCGGCUAACUACGUGCCAGCAGCCGCGGUAAUACGUAGGGUGCAAGCGUUAAUCGGAAUUACUGGGCGUAAAGCGUGCGCAGGCGGUUUUGUAAGACAGGCGUGAAAUCCCCGGGCUCAACCUGGGAAUUGCGCUUGUGACUGCAAGGCUGGAGUGCGGAAGAGGGGGAUGGAAUUCCGCGUGUAGCAGUGAAAUGCGUAGAUAUGCGGAGGAACACCGAUGGCGAAGGCAAUCCCCUGGGCCUGCACUGACGCUCAUGCACGAAAGCGUGGGGAGCAAACAGGAUUAGAUACCCGAGUAGUCC